UUAUUUUGAUUCCCUGCUCAGGAUGAACGCUGGCGGCGUGCGUAAUACAUGCAAGUCGAGCGAACAGACGAGGAGCUUGCUCCUCUGACGUUAGCGGCGGACGGGUGAGUAACACGUGGAUAACCUACCUAUAAGACUGGGAUAACUUCGGGAAACCGGAGCUAAUACCGGAUAAUAUAUUGAACCGCAUGGUUCAAUAGUGAAAGACGGUUUUGCUGUCACUUAUAGAUGGAUCCGCGCCGCAUUAGCUAGUUGGUAAGGUAACGGCUUACCAAGGCAACGAUGCGUAGCCGACCUGAGAGGGUGAUCGGCCACACUGGAACUGAGACACGGUCCAGACUCCUACGGGAGGCAGCAGUAGGGAAUCUUCCGCAAUGGGCGAAAGCCUGACGGAGCAACGCCGCGUGAGUGAUGAAGGUCUUCGGAUCGUAAAACUCUGUUAUUAGGGAAGAACAAAUGUGUAAGUAACUAUGCACGUCUUGACGGUACCUAAUCAGAAAGCCACGGCUAACUACGUGCCAGCAGCCGCGGUAAUACGUAGGUGGCAAGCGUUAUCCGGAAUUAUUGGGCGUAAAGCGCGCGUAGGCGGUUUUUUAAGUCUGAUGUGAAAGCCCACGGCUCAACCGUGGAGGGUCAUUGGAAACUGGAAAACUUGAGUGCAGAAGAGGAAAGUGGAAUUCCAUGUGUAGCGGUGAAAUGCGCAGAGAUAUGGAGGAACACCAGUGGCGAAGGCGACUUUCUGGUCUGUAACUGACGCUGAUGUCGAUUAGCCUUUAUUG
This 779-nucleotide ribosomal RNA is filed under the name Staphylococcus sp. RH6. Its description in RNAcentral is "bacterial SSU rRNA". It matches the Rfam family "Bacterial small subunit ribosomal RNA", at positions 1 to 768 of the family's 1533-position model. Lineage: Bacteria; Bacillati; Bacillota; Bacilli; Caryophanales; Staphylococcaceae. The record is from RNAcentral.